UAGGGAAUCUUCCGCAAUGGGCGAAAGCUUGACGGAGCAACGCCGCGUGAGUGAUGAAGGUCUUCGGAUCGUAAAACUCUGUUAUUAGGGAAGAACAAAUGUGUAAGUAACUAUGCACGUCUUGACGGUACCUAAUCAGAAAGCCACGGCUAACUACGUGCCAGCAGCCGCGGUAAUACGUAGGUGGCAAGCGUUAUCCGGAAUUAUUGGGCGUAAAGCGCGCGUAGGCGGUUUUUUAAGUCUGAUGUGAAAGCCCACGGCUCAACCGUGGAGGGUCAUUGGAAACUGGAAAACUUGAGUGCAGAAGAGGAAAGUGGAAUUCCAUGUGUAGCGGUGAAAUGCGCAGAGAUAUGGAGGAACACCAGCGGCGAAGGCGACUUUCUGGUCUGUAACUGACGCUGAUGUGCGAAAGCGUGGGGAUCAAACAGG
RNAcentral lists this ribosomal RNA (429 nucleotides) under Actinomycetes bacterium. RNAcentral's name for it is "Actinobacteria bacterium partial 16S ribosomal RNA". It matches the Rfam family "Bacterial small subunit ribosomal RNA", at positions 355 to 776 of the family's 1533-position model. The record is from RNAcentral. Lineage: Bacteria; Bacillati; Actinomycetota; Actinomycetes.